GAUCGGCUCCUCUCCUGGCAGCAGGUCUGCAGAGGCUGCCAGCACCUCAUGCCAUGGAAACGGCUCCGCUCGGCCUGCCAGGCUGGGAGGGCUGGAGGGCGGCGGGUGUUCAUUUGCUGUCAGAAAUAAAUCGUUCUAUUUUUUUGUCA
Molecule: long non-coding RNA, 149 nt
Organism: Vidua chalybeata
Lineage: Eukaryota; Metazoa; Chordata; Aves; Passeriformes; Viduidae
Exons: 2
Source: RefSeq, a predicted model, not a curated record